RNAcentral lists this ribosomal RNA (490 nucleotides) under uncultured bacterium. Its description in RNAcentral is "partial 16S ribosomal RNA". It matches the Rfam family "Bacterial small subunit ribosomal RNA", at positions 29 to 507 of the family's 1533-position model. The record is from RNAcentral.
AUUGAACGCUGGCGGCAGGCUUAACACAUGCAAGUCGAGCGGUAGCACAGGGGAGCUUGCUCACUGGGUGACGAGCGGCGGACGGGUGAGUAAUGUCUGGGAAACUGCCUGAUGGAGGGGGAUAACUACUGGAAACGGUAGCUAAUACCGCAUAACGUCGCAAGACCAAAGAGGGGGACCUUCGGGCCUCUUGCCAUCAGAUGUGCCCAGAUGGGAUUAGCUAGUAGGUGGGGUAAUGGCUCACCUAGGCGACGAUCCCUAGCUGGUCUGAGAGGAGGACCCGCGACACUGGGACUGAGAGACGGUCCAGACUCCUACGGGAGGCAGCAGUGGGGAAUAUAGCACAAUGGGCGGAAGCCUGAUGCAGCCAUGCCGCGUGUGUGAAGAAGGCCUUCGGGUUGUAAAGCACUUUCCGCGAGGAGGAAGGUGGUGAGCUUAAUCCGUGCAUCAAUUGACGUUACUCGCAGAAGAAGCACCGGCUAACUCCGUG